GUCACAUGAUUCACGACCUCCCAGGUAAACCAGACGGGAAUGCAUAUUUCAAAGUAAAAGGUAAUAUUUAGGAUCUAUAUAAUAUUUCCGAUAAAUUAUUUCGUUUGUUUAUUUUGUCAAUUCUUCCUAAUCAAAUAAUGACUUAAAUUGUUAUGUGAAAUGUGAAUAAUGAUUUAUUUAACUUUCGUUUUGGACUUGAACAUAAUCCAUAUUUAUCUUAAUUUAUGUUAUGUCCCAAUUCUAGGGCAAGUUAUUGUUUUCGUCCAUAAUAUCUUCAUUUUUACACGAAAUUUGUAUCUGUAUAGCAUCAUACCAAUCAUUUGAACUACAUUAUACACACGUUUACGAAAUCAUUCAAAUAGCAGGUUCAAGAAAUGGAACUUUGUCUUGUUUAUAUAUAUAUAUCAUUGAUUAAUAUCAGAACACAGGUAAAGUUUCCCAUAUAUUCACAAUAAAUGUGAACCCACAAAAAAACUCAAAAUCACGUAAAUAUGAUUAUUUUUUUAAAAAUUCUUUUGUACAAUUAUUUUUGUAAUUUUUUCAAAAAAAUAUAUCCGUUAGAAGUCAAGAACCAUAACUCUCUCUUUAUUGUGUACAAAUACAACAAAUACAUACACUAGUCAACAAAAGAAACGAUACAAGGCAAUGUAUUUUUCAUAAAUUAUGAAAUUGGAUACACUAUACCAAGGUAAAUUGGUCCAAUAUUUUAUUGUUAUUUUUUCUCUUCAAAACCUUGAUUUAGGGAAAAACGCUAACGAAUUUUGGAUUUUUUAUUAUUUCAAAAACAUAUUUUCAACAAAAAUUUCAAAAAUUAGAAAAAAUAGAAUUAACAUAUUUUCGAGUGAAACAUGGUCGUCCUAAAAUUGUGAUACGGAAUCAUUCAAUUAGCAGGUUCAGGGAAUUGACUCGGGAAUUGAACUUUAUCUUGUAUAUGUAUCAUUGAUUUAUAUCAAAACACAGGUAAAUGAUCCUACAUAUUUACACCAACUGUAAAACAAAAACACGUACAUAUAAUCAAUUAACUUAUUCUUUUGUUUCAAUUUUUUUAAUUGUUUUAACAUCUAAUAGCUUUAAAAAAAUGCAAAGAACAGUAACUCUCUAUCUUUAUUGUGUACUAAUACAACGAGUACACAUAUAUAUAUAUAUAUAUAUAUAAGCGUGAAUAAUAUACAAAUACAAAUACAAAUAUUUUUAUUGGUACAAACUCAUUAACAAUAAAUGGUUAAGACCUAUGGCAUUAUAUACAACCAUAAUAAUUGACAUGGUAGAAUGAAAGGUUCCAUGAUAACUUAUCAUGCUAAAUUAUGAAAAGUUACAAAAUGAUCGAUGUAUCAUAUAAGUUCACUAUUUCUUAUAUUUAGACACUCUGAUCUGAAAAAGGAAGACAGUCUAAGUAAUAAUGCUGAGCUAUUAUUGACCAAUAGAGAUAUUUUUUCAUCAACAGUAAUGUUACAUAAAAUAUAACAACUAAUUUUAUAACACUCAUUAGUGUGUUAAAGUUACAUUCUUAGGCACUUAAAUAACUUAAUUUAGUAACUGUAUCAAUUUAUUUACAAACUGAUCCACGCCUAGAUAGCUUGAAUGUUGAUUGUUGCUAUUUUUAGACAUUAUAUAUAUAUAGUAUCAAUACAGAUUGUAGUUUAUUCUCCUUUUUGUAAUAAAACAAAAACGAAAAUAAGAGAUUUUAAUGCAUAAAUAUAAUGCUCAAAUAAUUCAUUUAUCUAUUUGUCUACAUUACCAGGAUUUCAUCAUUAUAUUUAUUUAUAUUAGAUUAACAAUGCAUAUACAUAUAUUAUUAAACGCACUCUUUCAAUCAAAUGAUCGAUGAAAAUAGCUUUUUGUAUUAGACUAAAAUCAAGACACAAUACGCAAAAUAACUUUUGAAACCCAUCAAUACUGAACUUUAUAGCAAAUCUGAACUAAAUCUUUAAACGGAAUAUCUUAGGAAACUAGGUUUUUGAUUUUGGGAUGUAGGGUGGGCGGGGUUGCGGCCGCAAACAGUGUCCGUUUAAUAACAUGAAAACGAUUUUUUUUUUUGAAAUUUUGAAAUUUAUGUUGUUUCCUGUGACUAAUGAAGGUCAAGUUUAGUUUUCACCAUGUUAACUUUUCUCAUUGUUGAGUUACAGCCCUUUCCCAAAUUUUUUUUAUGAAUUACUCAACUUCUGUACAAAGGGAAAUAACUAAAAAAAAUCGAAAGAUAUUGUGUUAAUGUAAAUUCUUUGGUAAAUUGUUUGAAGAAUUUUGUGUUAGAUUUGUUUGUUAUUCUGAACAAAUUAAUUUUCUGAAUACUAUAUAAAUAACAACAAUUGAUGACGUGAACACCUUUGAUAAGAUAAUAAUAUAUUUAAGUUAAAGGAUAUAUUUGAUUACAUUACACUGUGUAGAUAAAGUUGUUGACGUGAUAGAUAAGUUGCAGAUCUAUAUUAGUUUGUGACAAAUGAAAUAUUUGAAACUAUUAAAUAUAAUGGAUAAUAAUAUGAAAAUUGAUAUACAUUGUGUAACAUUUUAUCUAACUUUAGAGAAAUACAUUUGCUUUAUUAUCUAAAAUUGAUUUCUGUUCAAGUGGAAAUAACUCAAAUUUAUUCCACGAGUUAGUAAUCAUAACAUAAGUUUUUGUCAAAAUUAAUUUUGUAAGUCAUGUGUGUAAUGAAGGUAUAUGGCAUAGUUAAUAUGUGAUAGUUUAUCUUGGUUUUGAAAGUUAAUGUUCAAUGUUUACAUGAUUCUGUUUGGGGUUCAGAUUUGCAAAUAUAAAUUUCAUUAUUUAUUAGAUAAUAAUCUAUCUAAAUAUCCAAUCACAAUCCAAAAUAUGAGCUGAAAUGUUGUGUCCAUACUUGCACAACUGGGUUAGACCUCUACAGGGAAAUCGAGUUUGCUGUCACUCGACAGACUCGUGUUAUAUAUAUUUCGAUAAUCUUUACUAAAACGUUUAACCACUGUGUCUAAACCACACCGACAAAAAAUGUUUGGACCCGAUGGCAUCUAAUAUCCGGCACGGUGACGGAACAUUUAUAGACAUAGAAAAUGUAGGUUUCUGUUUAUUUAUUUGCUAAUUUAUGAUAUCGAAAAAAUGUAUACAUAUAUAACUAUUUUCUAUUGUGAGGUGUACUAUUUUCUACAACAGUUCUAUAUUAAAGGAGAAAUAAGUAAAAAUGCAUAUCAAAAUGACGAAUUGAGUGAAUCUUGUCUCGAAUUUGGUUAAUAUCUCGUUGAAUUGGUCACAUUGUACAUUAAGAAAGGUAUGAAAAGAAAGAUAUUGACACAGAGAUUGCAAAACUAGCCACUUUGAGCACCUUGAAACUUGUAUUUCUGUGUUUGGAAUGAAAGAAAUGGGUCAUGUCAAAAUGAAAGAGGCCGGUUUGGUCAAUGUGUACAACCGGUUUUGUCCUAGAUUUCUCAAGGUAGAACCCGGUUUUGUCAAAGAAAACAAUGCAUAAUGUAUAACAAAAUUGAACUUCGGCGUUUUAAAGGAGUCUGGUGGCUCCUUGGAAAACGAUUUCUUUGAGAGGACAACUUAUUGAUUGUAAGAAUCUGUAAACACUUUAAUUCCUACUUAAACAUUUUUAUUGGAACUAUAAAAAAAAGAAAAAUGUUUGCCUUUCUAUCAAAAAAAUAUCUUAACUGCCAAAUUUAUAGAAAUGAAGGUUAUAACGCAAAUUGAUAUUUAAGUUCUCUAUACGUGUUUAUAUGAAACAUGUGAACUAAAGUGAUCAAAUUUGAAAUUACAGUUUACGGUCUUAACAAUUUAACACGCACAUUUGAUAUGUGAAUUUCUUGCACAACAGGAUGAUUAUAGUUAUAUGUAAUCCAAUCUAAUCGCGCAAAUGUAGAACAAAUUCGUGCUCGUUACUCCCCGCUAACAAGGGGCGUAAUCUUUCUUAUGGUCGUUUAAAACAAGGACUGUCUAUGCUAGAAAGUCUAGAAAGUCCCUGUUUAGAAUAGAUCUUCUUAAGGGUAAGUGUUUAUUAUAAGACAUGAUAGGAAGACAAAUGUAUUUGAGAUUUUACAUGUUUUAUGCUAAUACAAAAUCGUAAAAAAAAUAAAUUUGAUUUUUAAAGGCUUUCACAGGUGGGGUUUAAAAAUUCACAUUGAUAUUUUAGAAUCAUCGAAAUACGAGACCAAUGGAUGCAAAUUCAUGGUAGCUUGAACUAUUUUGUAUGAGGCUUCAUAUGUCAGAAGUGAGAAGGCCUGGCUGCAACAAACCUAGCACACAGAUCUUUUAUUUUACUAUGCUUCUAUCUGUCAUAUGACCAUUGCCCUUGACCUCAUUUUCAUAGUUUAGCGAUUUCCUAUCAAAAUAAAUAGCUGUGAAUGUCACACUGAUAAGGGAGCAACCAUUUAACUUCAAAGGGGAAAGGGGGUGGUUAAUGUUUUUUUUCGUUAGAACAUAAAUCACAAACAGAUUUAUUAAGUUUCUUCGACGCUAUCAAUCAGAUUCUUUCUUUAAUAUAAAACAUUAUUAGUUAAAGGGGAAAUCUGCUUGACCAGAAUAUUUUUUGUUCAUCAAAUUGUGGAUCGGAAUAAUUUUUUUUAGAGAAAAAAAACUAGCCACCUCCUGGAAGUUAAAUGGUCGUUCCCUAAUGGUUGAUAUCCAUGAUCAAGGUGAAUAUUUUGUGUUCAAUAUAAAGAAAAAAGUAGAUGUGAUAUGUUUGGCAAUGAGACAACUCUCCACAACAGACCAAAUAGCACAGAAAUCUACAGCUACACGUCACCACACGGGCUUUAAUAAUGAGCAAAACAUAUACCGCAUAUUCAGCAAUAACAGGCCCGGAAAUCACAAAUAUAAAACAAUUUAAACAAGAAAAACAAAUAUGUAACACAAGUCCGUAUCUCUAGUACCAUAAGUAAUAGGUCAACCGUGUUUGCUCAUAUGGCCACAGGACUAUUAUAUAACCAUGAACUUAUUUCAUUGGUUUAUUAGUUAAGGUUAAGUUUUUUAUUUUUGUCAUUGUAAUGUGUUCAUGUCCAUCUGAUAGGUUUCAUUACACCUUGACUUUUUUAUGGUUCCAUGAACAAUGUUAAGUUUAUGUGAUCCUUUUAUAACAGCGAAAGACCGUGAGGGCAUUCCGGUGUAUUGCAAUGUCCUAAAAUUCCAUGACGUUAUAUUCGUUUUGGGUUUUUAACCGAUCUAUAAACAUGAUGAAUACGUAGACAUCAUCAGAUGCAAGCUAACAUUCCUUAUCGCUUGUUAUAAAUUCAUUUCUUCAAUGAAUACUCAUCAAAAACUUUUUAAAGAAGAUAAAUUAAUAAUAUUAUUUUUUGUUUUGUUAUAUGUAUAUACAUAUAAAUAAAAAAAAAUCAUUAAUAUAUAUGCACACGCAUGCGGAAGAAUAUCUCAGGAACGUUUGCAAUCUCAAGGAACUAUAACUCUGCAUGGAUGAUAAAACAUUUUUUUGCGGCAAAAUACGAAUGCCUACUCAAAUCCAUUCUAUUAGAAAAAACGAAUAAUUACAGAGGAGUGACGUGUCCACCCUGCACUUGCACUGUACUAUUAAAAAUAUAGUAGAAUAAAUGAUAAAUAAAUGCAUGAAAAUUAUAUAUACUUGUAACUGUAAUAUACAAGUAUUAAUAUAUAUAACGGACAACAAACCAGAGUUUACUGAUUUGUAUCACUACAAUAUAAUAGUCAUUACGGUGAGAAUGAAUUCCCUGUCAUUAAUUUAUCAUCCAAGCACGAACUUGUUCCAGAUUUUUUUUUAUAUCCGUACAUUAACCCCACUUUCAGGUAUAGAGAUGUGAUUUUUUUCUGAGACAACUGCUUAAUGAAACCUCCACAAGAACGUGCAGUCGUCCUAUGUUCAGUACUUCAGUACUUUGAUUAAAUUAUAUAUCUUAAGUUACAGAUCUUCAAAAUAGAUUUAAUUACGAUAAUUCAAGCAGUCGCUUCAUGUCAGUGCGUACACUCUUGUAAAUAAUGCAUUGAAAGUAGAAUGAAUUUUUGUUGAAAAAACGCAAGUGAAAUUGUUUUACAAUAACAGUCAUAUUUAUGUUGCAUUUCGAUGGAUAAUGUUAAGAUCCGUGUUAGCGUUGCUUUUCAUAAAAUUUAUGGUUUCAAAACAAACAAAACCGGGUGAUAUUCAUAGACAAAACCGGGUGAUUGUGUAGUAAACAACAUUGACCAAACCGACCUCUUCCAUUUUCAUUUGACCUAUUUCUUUCCUUCCAUACACAGAAAUACAAGUAUCGAGGCGCUCAUAGUGUCUAGUUUUGCAAUCUACGUGUCAAUAUCUUUCUUUUCAUACCUUCCUUAACGUACAAUGUGAACAAUUUAACGAGAUAUUAAACAAAUUUGAGACAAGGUUCACUCAAUUUGUCAUUUUGACAUGCAUUUUUACUUAGUUCUCCGUUAAUAUUGAACUGUUGUAGAAAAUAUUACACCUCAUAAUAGAAAAUAGUUAUAUAUAAAAUUGAGAAUGGAAACGGGGAAUGUGCCAAAGAGACAACAACCCGACCAUAGAGCAGACAACAGCAGAAGGUCACCAACAGGUCUUCAAUGCAACGAAAAUUCCCGUACCCGGAGGCGUCCUUCAUCUGGCCCCUAAACAAGUAUAUACUAGUUCAGUGAUAAUGAACGCCAUACUAAACUCCAAAUUGUACACAAGAAACUCAAAGUUAAAAUAAUGUAUACAUGUUCUUCGAUAUCAUAAAAAUAGCAAAUAAAUAAACAAAAACCUACAUUUUCUAUUCUAUUAAUGUUCCGUCACCGUGCCGGAUAUUAGAUACAUUCGAGUCCAAAUAUUUUUUGUCGGUGUGGUUGAGACACAGUAUUAACACCCGAUUUUGAUCAAUUCUUUUUAUUUGACAACAAAUAUUUGACACUAUACUCUACACAAGAAUCUGUCAUUCAAAUUCAUUUUCAUUUGGAUUUCAAGAACUGUAGACUGAGAUAAAUGAUAAUUAUGCCGAUGGAUUGUUUAUUGAUAUUAAACCGCAUUUUCAGUGCUCAUUAUUAUAUUAUGAAACCUGUUUAAACUGAUGUAGAAAACCAGAGUGCCUGAGUCAAUACACUUCAACAGGAUAAAUUAAAUAAGCUACCAGGUUUUAUGUUAGGGGGUUGAUGAAGGUGCUGUUGUUUUAAACUUUUUAAUCCGCUAUUGUUAUUUGCAGUGUGUGUGAAAUGGCAGCAGCUUCUAUGAGCUGUGGUGUUUGUGAACUCCGUCACAUCACCAAACCAUCCAUAGUCUGGUGUUCAGAAUGUGACGAGGGACUAUGUGCAGAAUGCCAGGAGCAUCACAGUUUGUCAAAAGGAACCAGAAACCAUAAAGUGAUUACAAUUACUGAAUACACGAAAUUACCAGCUGAUGUACUAAUGAUUAGUCAAAACUGUAGUAAACACGUUAAAAAGUAUCAAUUUUAUUGCCAGAAGCAUGAAUGCCCCUGCUGCAGCAAAUGUAUCGUGGAAAUCCAUAAAGAAUGCCAAGAUUUCGUCGAAUUAGAUGACGUCAUUCACAAUGUCAAAACCUCCAAUGACGUUUGCGAAAUAGAGGAAACAUUAUUUGAAGUUGCAGAAAAUCUACAGAAGAUUCGACAGCAUCAACAGGACAACCUGACGACAUUAGAAGAAAGUAGAAAGGAAAUAGAAAAAGAAAUAAAGAUGACCAGAAUAAAGAUCAACAACCAUCUUGACAAACUACAAGAGGAUUUAAUUAAACAACUGUAUGCAGUAGAAGAAAAAGAAAAGUCGAAAAUUGGUCAGUUAUUGUCAUCAUUAGAAAAUAAUGAAAAGGAAAUAGCAGAAUGCAAGAGAAAUAUUAUGAAUAUUAAACAACAUGCAACAGACCUUCAAGUCUUUCUUUCAAUAAAGCAAAUAGAAGGGUACGUCUAUAGCAAAAAUAAAUUCUCUCAGUCGCUUGAAGAAGACAAGAUUUUCACCAAAACUUCUCUUUCAUAUAAGAUCAACACCUCUAUCCAAAAUAUCAUGUCCGAUAUCAUAAGUUUUGGAGAUGUGCGUAUUGAAGCUAAAUCUUGCGAUAUAGUUAUUACUAGGAAAAAGGAUAAACAAGCUCAAAGGAUGGUACCGACCGUUCAAUCAAGAGCCAUUGAAAAUAUAAAGUUUACGAAACAAAAGACCAUCAACACUCAAGGAGAAUUAAUUUACGGAUGUUGCAUGUUGCCGGAUGGUAGAAUAGCAUUUACUUACAACUCGGAUUGUAAGGUAAUUGUGUUUAACAUGAAAGGAUUGAAAGACUUUGAGGUGAAGAUGCCGGUUUACCCGUUUGAUUUAGUGUUUAUCAGUGAGGACAAUACAUUGGCUGUCACAUCUGGUUAUUCACAGAUAGAAGUGUAUUACUAUUAUCGACUUGGAGAAGAAACAAAUCAAGAAAAUAAUUUCACUGGAUUCGGAAUAGUUUUGGCAUUGCAUUGAAAGAUAACCGAUUGAUUUAUUCCGGUUACGACAAAGGUAUACGAAUGAUCAAUCUAGACGACGAGUCUAUACGUGACAUAGUCCGAGACAUAAUGCCAACACAAUGUUGCAUUGCAACAUUUAAGAACAGUAUAUAUCAUACAAACAAUGAAACACACACUGUAACAUGUUAUAAUCGACAAGGAGAAAUACAAUGGAAUUUCCGUAACGUAACCGUUCUUAAAUCUCCUCGAGGUAUUGAUGUAGAUAAUGAUGGUAAUGUGUUUGUGACAGGGAGCACUUCAAACAACGUUGUUGUUAUCUCUCCUGAUGGACAACGACAUAGAGAAGUAUUGACAGCAAGUUAUGGCCUUGAAGAUCCUGCCUCGCUUCAUUAUAGUGGAUCAAAGAACCAGCUGCUUAUCGCGAACUUCAAUUACAAUGCUCAUUUGUUUGAUGUUAUUUAAACAAAUUCAAAGUUAAAACUUCUUAAACUUUAGGUCAUUCUGAGCAGUGAUUAAAAUAUCUAGAAUUUUGAAACCUAUUUAGUUACUUUCUGACAGAAAUAUAAUAUGUAGUGUGUGUUUUAAACGUAUUCAUUUACAAAUUAUGUAUAGUUAUUGCUGUUAUUUCAUUAAACAUGUGUAUUCUAAUACAUUUAAUGGAAUGAGAACACUAGUAUCAUCACGAACCAGAAACGAUGUUGCCGGUAAACAUGGUAAAUACAUUUUAUCAUGUUUAUAGAAAUAAAACAACGAUAUGUGGUGUGUUUGCAAAUGAGGGAACUACCUACCACCGACCAAAUGACGUGGGUCACUGAUAUUAUUGCUACUAUUUAUAAACUACCAUCCAGCACAAAAUUUUCCAGAUACAAAUAUUUUUUCAUGACAAAAUAUAAAUAUUGACAAAUUAUCUUUAUUGGGACAUCACGUGCACAUAUGGCGAGAUACGACUUAUAAAGAUCGCCAAUAGAAUAACAAAAGGUAUAUAAAUCUAAAAAAUCAUAAUAAAUGAAUAUAUAAUUAUGUAGUUACAAAACUAAUGAUAAUGAUCAUAUAAUACAACAUUUUCGUUCAAACGCAUAUGCUUGAGCUGACAGGUCUCAUUAUAAGUUGAAGUCUAUGCCUAUAAAAGUAUGAAUGAUUGUCUUUAUCACCUUGUUUGGUGAUAAUUUGAGAGAAUAAACUGUCAUGAUUCAGCGAUUAGCUAAACGUUUGUAGUAUGUGCAUUUUGUAUUUUUCAUGAUAAAUCAACAUCAAUGGGUUCCUUGAUUGGUUUGGAAGAAGACAUAAGUCAUACUUCAGUGGUAAAUUUUAAGCUUGCGAGGUGUAGACUAUUCCUUUAUAAGUUUACAGGAUAGGUCAACAUUAUUUUGGUUUGUAGUUUUCAUGUGAUAUAUAAGGAAACAUGUGUUCAUCUGAGAUCAUCUGAGAUAUGUCAUAUAACCUUGACCUGAAUAUUAUUUGUAACCAUGGUGUCAUAAUGAAGCCUCCUCCUUUCUGACUAUAAUUGAGCGACUUACAAUAUGUAUGAGGAUUGUUUGCAAAUAAACUCAUCAUAGAUACCAGGACUAAAUUUUGUAUAUACGCCAGACGCGCGUUUCGUCUACAAAAGACUCAUCAGUGACGGUUGAAUCCAAAAAAGUUAAAAAGGCAAAAUAAAGUACGAAGUUGAAGAGCAUUAAGGACAAAAAUUCCUAAAAGUUAUGCCAAAUACAGCUAAGUAAUCUAUUCCUGAGGUAGAAAAGCCUUAUUUUUUUUCUUCAAAAAUUCAAUUAUGUAAUGUCAGUUUAACAUUAGUUAUGACCAUGACCUAAAAUUCAUGCUUCAUCUUUCACAAGAUGUUUUAAUUGUAUAAGGAUCAAGUCUGUUUUUUAGUUACUAAUAUUGAUAGGUUUUGAUUUUAAUGUUCCUGAACAAGUUUUAUCCAUAAAAGGUUUUUAGAAGCACCACAUGUAUAUAAUGUUAUUUUCGUAUGUAUUAUCAAUAUUAAUAUCAGGAAAAAAUUCAAAUAUCUUAAUAGGAGAGAAAUUUAAGUAUCUCCAAUAAUUUUAAAGGAACUCGCAUAUAUUUCAAUAUAAGAAUUACAAAUAUAUCUUUAUUUAGGUAUCAGUUCUCCAAAACAAUUUAUACAUGUUAUAUAUAAAACUAUAAAUAGUAGUAUUAAUCAUGACACAGUCUCAAUUAAAAACAAAAACUGUUUUUUCCACAAAAAAAGAAAAUGACGAAAAAUGUAUUCACCAAAUACUGAAAAAAAAUGCAAGCAUGAGAUCUUUACAACAGAGAAAAAUCAAACCUGAAAUAUAUUUCUAACUGCAGUGGCGGAUUCAAGGAGUGUAAACGUAGUGCAUAUCCUUGAAAUCAGACGUUAUAUCGUGUUUCCCAUGAAAUCGUUAAAAUAAUCAUCUUGCUACUAUUAAGUUGUUUUAAUCAUUUUGUCCAUGCGUAGAUCUGAAAUUUUUUCUUUCUUUGUCCUUUUUUUUUGCCAAAAUGUGAUUGAUAUCGACAUUGAAGGACAAACACUCAAAUAGCAAGUGGUCAACUGAUGAUUUCAAUCAUGUUGACUUUUUCUUGAUUUGUAACCAUUUGUUAUAGAUGUUUAGGAUAAAAUUUUAAGUUUGAUAUACCAACAAAAAAAAACGACAAUAUUGGUAAACAUUGUAAUUUAAGGUCAUUACCUUUUAUUCUUAACUGACGAUUUGAUUAUUUGCUUUAAACUUUUCAAAAGAUAAAUAAUCAACUGUAAUUUAUUGACUUUUUUAUUUUAUUUUUUUGUUUGUUUUUGUUUAUAUAGUAUAUAAACUUUCUUCACGCUUCUUCUUAUCCUGAAUAUGUUCUUCUUCAAGUUCUUGUCGCUAAUAAGUGUGAUCGGACUGGUUUGUAUAGGCUGUCUCCUGAUAAUGUGUGCUGCUUUAUUUUUUUCCGUCUACUAGUCCUUAAGCUAAAGCACAACUAGCUGGGAUUAUUCAACGAAUGAAAAAUUCCGAGGCUAUAACAGUUAAAUGGGGCUGUUCACAAUUUAUCUGAAUAUAUCAACAUGGAUGGUCUUGACCUGAUGAUCAUUUUAUCAUGUCCGUUUAACUUUUUUUAGUUUAAAAGAUAUCAAAGAUAAUCCGUACGGUUUCAAUGGCAAAAUGUCCGUUUUAGCUUAUUCUGAAAUGCUGAAAUAAGUUUUAAAAAAAUGAAAUUAAAACGAACAUAGAACAUGUCCAAAAUGAUUACGUUUAUUUCCAAUACAACCCAACUUGUUAAUGUGUAUUUUAAAAUUCAAAAUUUGUGGCUUUUUUCACUUUCUGAAACAAUCAAUAAUUAAUGACCUUCCUGAUAAACUCGAGCUGGUAAACCAUACGAGGAAUGCAUAUUUUAAAGUAAAAAGGUAAUUUUUAUGAUUUAUUUGUUAAGUCCACGAUAAAUUCUUUCUUUUGUUAUGUUUUGAAUUCUUUCUAAUAAACUAAUAAACUAAUGACCUAAACACGUUAAAUUUGUAGAAUGAUUUAUUUUACUUUCGUUUUGGGCUUGGACAUAAUCCAUAAUUAUCUUCAUUUAUAUAUGUUAUGUCCCAAUUCUAGAGCAAGUUAUUUUUUUCGUUCAUAAUAUCUUCAUUUGUACACGAAAUUCGAUCUGUAUAAUACCAUCAAUCAUUGGAACUACAUAUAUACACGUUUACGGAAUCAUUCAUUUAGCAGGUUUAGGAAAUGGAACUUUAUCUGAUGUAUUAUAUAUAUCAUCGAUUAAUAUUAGAUCAGAAAAGUUUCCAGUAUAUUUACACCAAAUGUGAAUCCACAAAAAAAAGCCAAAAUACGUAAAUAUGAUCAUUUAACACAUUCUUCUGUAGGAAUUUUUUUAAUUGUUUUAACAUAUUAUAGCUUUAUAAUUGAUUAACAAUUCAUAUAUCAAUAUUAUCAAACUUACACUUUCAAUCAAAUGAUCGAUUAAAAUAGCUGACUUGUAUUAAGCUGAAAUCAAGAUUAAUUAUAUCUAGUUGCCAAUCCAAUACGCAAAAUAACUAUUUGAGACCCUAAACUACAAAAUAACUAAACUUUAGACUUAAAGCAAAUCUGAACAGAUUUUUAUAUAUAUUUCCAUAAUCUUUUAUAAAAGUUUAAGGCCCGGUUUAAUUCAUUCUAAAUGUUUGACCCUGUACUAUUCACAAGCUCCAAUUAUUCAAAUUCAUUUUCAUUUUGAAUAAAAAAAACUGUCAAAUGAGAUAAAUGAGAAUUAUUUCAGAGAUUGAGUAUUGAUAUUAAACUCAAUUUUCAGUACUCAUGGAUAUAUUAGGAAACCUGUUUAAAUUGAUGUAGAAAACCUGAAAGCCUGAGUCAACUCUCUUCGACAGGAAAAUAAAUUAAGUUACCAUGUUUGAUGUCGGAUUAAUUGAGGUGGUGUUGUUUUAAAUCAGCUAUAAUUAUUGUUAUUUGCAGUGUGUGUUAAAUGGCAACAGCUUCUAAAACCUGUGGUGUUUGUGAACUUUGUCACAUUACGAAACCAUCAAUAGUCUGGUGUACAGAAUGUGAUGAGGGACUACGUAUUGAAUGCCAGGAGCAUCAUAAUUUGUCAAAAGGAACCAGAAACCAUCAAGUCAUACCAAUUACUGAAUACACUAAAUUACCAGCUGCUGUACUAAUGAUCAGUCAAAACUGUAAUAAACAUGAUAAAAAGUAUCAAUUCUAUUGCCAGAAGCAGAAUUUCCCUGCUGCAGCAAAUGUAUCAUAGAAAGCCAUAAAGAAUGCCAAGUUUUCGUCGAAUUAGAUGACGUCAUUCACAAUGUCACAACUUCCAAUGCCCUGUGCGACCUAGAGGAAACAUUAGUUGAAGUAGCUCAUCUUUCUUUAAAUUUUGUAAAUGAGGUACCAAAAGAAAGAAGAAGGAUUAAUCUUUCAAAUUGUGAUAAUUUCAUUAUGACAUAAUUAUUACAUCAUUAAUUGUUAUGUAAUUAGUUGCCAUAUUGUGAUGUCUAUACUUGAAUGAAUUUAGCUUCUUUGUUAUUCAUAGCAUCCACAAAUAUUUUAUAGAUUCUUGCACUACACAGUUUGACCUCCAAAACUGUGUCUCAGAUUUUUCUUAUUGUAUUUCAUUCUCUCAUAAAUCUUCAAUGAAGUUUGCAACAUCAAUUCAUUAGAGACCAUUAAAUUCAAUUGGGUAUAAAAUUUGUUCUAUUGAUGUUUUUGGAAAUCUGAGACACAGUUUUGGAGGUCAAGCUGUGUUGUACAAGAAUAUAUAAAAUAUUUUGGGAUGCUAUAAAGAACAAAGAAGCUAAAUUGAUUCAAGUGUGGACAUCACAAUAUAGCAACUAAUUACACAAUAAUUAAUUAUAUAAUAAUUAUGUCAUAAUGAAAUGAUCACAAUUUGAAAGAUUAAUCUUUCUUCUUUCUUUUGGUACCUCAUUAAUAAAAUAUAAAGAAGGAUGAAAUGAAUUACAUCAGUUUAAAGUUGUCUGAUUGGGAGCGACAAAAUCUUUGUAUUGUGCUACCUUAAUGAAACAACUAUAUGCGAUAGAAGAAAAGGAAAACUCGAAAGUAAGUCAAUUAUUCUCAUCAUUAGAAAAGAAAGAAAAUGAAAUAGCAGAAUGCCAGAAAAAUAUUAUCAACAUCAAGCAACAUGCAACGGAUCGUCAAGUGUUUCUUUCCAUGAAGCGAACAGAAGAGGACGUCUAUAGCAAACAUAAAUUCCUUCAGUCGCUUAAAGAAGGCGGGAAUUUAAACAAACAUUUGUUUCAUAAAGAUCAACACCGCUAAUGAGAAUAUCAUGUCCGAUAUCAGAAGUUUUGGAGAAGUUCGUAUUGAAGCUAAAUCUUACAAUAUUGUUCUGAUUAAGAAAAAGGCAAAACAAGCCCAAAUGAUGGUAUAAACCGUUCAAUCAAGAUCUAUUGAACAUAUAAACCUUACGCUACAAAAGACCUUCGACAAUCAAGGAUUCCAAAUUUUUGGAUGUUGCAUAUUACCGAAUGGUAGAGUGGCAUUUACCUACUACUUGGAGAGUAAGGUAAAUAUAUUCAACGUGAAAGGAUUAAAAGAUUUUAAAGUGAAGUUGCCGUCUGACGCGUUCGAUAUAGUGUACAACAGUGAUGAUAAUGUAUUGGCUAUCAUACCUGGUGGUUCAGAGAAGAAGUGUAUCACCAUUAUAGACCUGGAAAAGAAACAAAUGAAGAAAGCAAUUUCUCUGGAUUCUUAUAGUUAUGGCAUAGCACUGAAAGAUAAUCG
Molecule: long non-coding RNA, 14540 nt
Filed under: Mytilus galloprovincialis (Mediterranean mussel)
Lineage: Eukaryota; Metazoa; Mollusca; Bivalvia; Mytilida; Mytilidae
Source: RNAcentral